RNAcentral lists this ribosomal RNA (384 nucleotides) under Bacillaria sp. RNAcentral's name for it is "partial small subunit ribosomal RNA". It matches the Rfam family "Eukaryotic small subunit ribosomal RNA", at positions 587 to 975 of the family's 1831-position model. The record is from RNAcentral. Lineage: Eukaryota; Bacillariophyta; Bacillariophyceae; Bacillariales; Bacillariaceae.
AGCUCCAAUAGCGUAUAUUAAAGUUGUUGCAGUUAAAAAGCUCGUAGUUGGAUUUGUGGCUGUCGCGUGCGGCCUGACACAUUGUGUUAGUGUUUGCUUGCGUCGCCAUCCUUGGGUGGAACCUGUGUGGCAUUAGGUUGUCGUGCAGGGGAUGCCCAUCGUUUACUGUGAAAAAAUUAGAGUGUUCAAAGCAGGCUUAUGCCGUUGAAUAUAUUAGCAUGGAAUAAUAAGAUAGGACCUUGGUACUAUUUUGUUGGUUUGCGCACCAAGGUAAUGAUUAAUAGGGACAGUUGGGGGUAUUCGUAUUCCAUUGUCAGAGGUGAAAUUCUUGGAUUUUUGGAAGACGAACUACUGCGAAAGCAUUUACCAAGGAUGUUUUCAUUA